UUACGGCCAUAUCACGUUGAAACACCAUUUCUCGUAUGAUCACCGAAGUUAAGCAACGUUGAUCCUGGUCAGUACCUAGAUGGGUAACCGUUUGGGAAUAUGAGGUGCU
Molecule: non-coding RNA, 109 nt
Organism: Acanthosepion pharaonis
Lineage: Eukaryota; Metazoa; Mollusca; Cephalopoda; Sepiida; Sepiidae
Source: the annotation of a GenBank genome assembly